Molecule: ribosomal RNA, 253 nt
Filed under: uncultured bacterium
Lineage: Bacteria
Description: partial 16S ribosomal RNA
Rfam family: Bacterial small subunit ribosomal RNA
Source: RNAcentral
GACAGAGGGUGCAAACGUUGUUCGGAAUUACUGGGCGUAAAGCGCGUGUAGGCGGCCCUGCAAGUCGGGUGUGAAAUCCCACGGCUCAACCGUGGAAGUGCACUCGAAACUGCAGGGCUAGAGUCCUGGAGAGGAAGGUGGAAUGCUUGGUGUAGAGGUGAAAUUCGUAGAUAUUAGGAAGAACACCAGUGGCGAAGGCGGCUCACUGGCCCGGUACUGACGCUGAGGCGCGAAAGCGUGGGGAGCAAACAGG